UGACAACAUAAAAACAAGAGGUUAAAAAAAGGGAGGUGAGUAAUGUAAAAAGUUUACUGCCAUUUGGAUUCCCGUUUAGGAACUGGGAUCUUAGUCUAGGGAGAAGCCCAAACAUGAUGAACUGUUACUGAGCUUUCCAGAGUUGCUAACUUUGUUCACUCCCAAGCCAUUUGUCUCUCUGUUAGCUUAAUAAUUUUCCAGAGCUGUUGUGUAGCCUAACUACCGGGGCACUACUGAGCCAAGUUCUCCCAGCCCGCCCGGCUGAAACGGGAAGAGACAGCACCAGGGUCUUGCCGCCAAGCCUGCGAGAGCUUCCACAUUGGGUCGGGGCGAAGACAACAGCACGGACACAUGGCCACCUCCACUCACUGGCUUCCCCGUGUCUUUCCCUUUCUUUCUCUUCGACUUCUGAAGAAAUCGCUCCCUUUCCAAUUUCCCUGGCUCUUUAAGGAAAAAAAAAAAAAAAAAAACCAAAGCCUAAAAACUAAAAAUAUUCAUUUUAGGCACAAGUCAUACAAAUAGUUGUGCAACGGCUUUUGAUUCUUUCUGUAAAGAGUACGGCUUCUAUUUCCAGCAUCUUCUGUCUCCCUGAGAGCAUUUUACGAUGAUUUCUUGUUCUCUGUUCUCCCAACUGGAUGACUUGCACAACAUUCCUGAGAGGCAGCUGUUUCCAGAAUAUCGCACAGUUUAUUGAGUUCACGAGAACUGUGACCGACGGCAGCACCGACCUUUACAGAGACUCAAAGGGCUCCCAUUCCCGUUUGCUGACGUGCGCAGCAGCCGCUUCCUCCGGGCGUGUCCCUUCAUCCGGGAACAGGAGCCAUCAACGUGUCACAGACUUAGAGCCGGAAGGGUUCUUCGCCACCGUGAUGGAAAGAAAAACGUCCUUCAAGGAGGGAGCUAGAAGAGCCUAGGAACAGAGAUAACGAAGGGCCACACGUCCAGUCACCCAUCCGCCCUGACCGCCGUGGAGAAAGGUGAGCUGCAAACUGUGUAGUUUGCAAAAGGAUUGUGCUGCUCACCAUUUCUCAAAAGGCCCAGUUCUAACCUCCCUACCUGCUCUUUUUUUUCUUUUUUUUUUUUUUGAUGUAGUGUUCCAUGAUUCAUUGUUUGUGUAUAACACCCAAUGCUCCAUUCAAUACGUGCCCUCUUUAAUACCCAUCACCAGGCUAACCCAUCCUCCCACCCCCUCCCCUCUAGAACCCUCUGUUUGUUUCCCAGAGUCCAAAGUCUCUCAUGGUUCGUCUCCCCCUCUGAUUUUCACCCCUUCAUUUUUCCCUUCCUGCUAUCUUCUCUCUCUCUUUUUUUUUUUAAACAUAUAAUGUAGUAUUUGUUUCAGAGGUACAGGUCUGUGAUUCAUCAGUCUUAUACAAUUCACAGCGUUCCCCAGCAAGUGCUGUGCAAUUCCGCCUCCGGCAAAGACAUUUGGGAACCACGGCAACAGGCCCCUUCCCCAGAAGAUCGGCAAGAACAGCCCGCCAAGACCAACUUUACCGAUCAAUGAGAAUGGCAGAACUCCAGCGCUACGGGAAUACUGCAUAGAGAAUUCAUGGUUUUUUUUCCCAUGAUUCUUUAGUCUUUCAAAGUUAAUUUUUUUAAUUUUCUUUUUUUUCUUUUUCUAUUUUUUUCUUUUUCUUUUUCCCUUUUACAACCAACAUCUUAUCAGUCCCUUUUCUUUUAAGUCUUUUUUAUUUUUCAUUUUUAGAGUCAUAUUCCGUCCCUUCAUAGUAGUUAACCUUAUUUUUGGUAUAUAUAUAUAUAUAUAUAUAUAUAUAUAAGUUGUUCUCUCUUUAAAAUUUUGGGAUACAGUUUCUUCUAACAGACCAAAAUAUAUCCUAAAUCUCUAGUGUAUGGCUUUGUUCUAGUCUCCUGCCUGAUCACAUUCUCUCCCUCUUUUUUUUUAAUUUCUCUUCUUUUUUCAACCAACUUCUUAACUUAUUAAUUCCUUUUAUAAAAUCUUUUGUAAUUUUCAUCUUUACAGUCAUAUUCCAUCCCUUUAUCGUAUUUACCCUUAUUUUUGUACAUAUAUAAGUUUUUCUUUCUUUAAAAUUUUGGGAGGCAGUUUCUUCUAACAGACCAAAAUAUGCCCAAAAUCUAGUGUGUGACACUGAUCUAUUCACCAGCCUGAUCAUAUUUGAUCAUAUUCUUUUAUUCUUUCUUUUUUUUUCUUUUUUCUUUCUUUCCCUUUCUUCCCCCCCCCCCCCCCCCGGUUUCGGGUCUCUUUUGAUUUGUUUAGUAUAUAUUUUUCUAGGGUCAUUGUUCCCUGUUAGCAUUUUGUCCUACCUGCUCUUGUUACAUUUUUUCUUUCUGCUACUUUGGCAAAAUAGCUCCAGGGAGCCCCUGAAUAAAAACCUUGAUGCUAAUCUCUCAGGAAUUAAGGUGGUUUCUCUAGAAUUGUUUGGAUGAGUUUAACGAGUCUUGCGGAAAUUGCUACUUCAUCAUCACACCCAGGAUUUGCCCUUACCCUUACCCUCGAAAUGAGGAGGAAGAAGCAUCCAGAGAGAUCCAGUCCACCCCCAGAAGAGGCCAGGAGGGAGGGGAGCACAGAGAGAGCCCUGCUCAAUCAAGUGCACCAUCAUUUGGUAUUUAAAGAAAACAAACAAAACACCAAAGACUAGGGAACAAAUGACAGGGCAAAAUGACAUCAAACUGAAGCAGAGAGACCCCCCUCCAGGAAGUGUUUAAGUGAGUCUGGGAAAUCAAGGUAUUCUAAUUAAACACGUAGUUUGAAAGAAGUGUAAAGUACUUGGCAGAGAAUUACUGAGGUAGGAAAUUAAUAAAGUUCACUCCUAGUGUUAAAUGAGCCUUCUGAAUUCUAAAAUCCAAAACAGUGUCUUCAGUGGUGUUCUAAAUUUCGCGGAAUCAUAUUCAAGAGUAAAGAGAGACAAAGGCUUCUCCGUGUGGAGGACAGUGGCGUCAGACACUGCUUUUAUUUAAAAUUUUGAUAUUUUGUUCAUCUUGGGCUGUUUUAGUAAUUUUUUAUUUUUAAAAAUAUAUCAUUAUAAUAUUUAUUCUUGACUGCUGAGCUAUUUCGUGCCCCAUAAAUUUAGCACUCCAUAGGAGUGUCUCACACUUCCCUCUAAGUCUGGUCAGGAGGCUACUAGGUACUUGUACAGAGAAAGUCAGCAUGUCUAGGGGUUGAGUUAUGUCCUCCAUAGAGAUGUUGAAGUCCUAACCCCAAGUACCCCAGAAUGUGACCUUAUUUGGAAAUAGGGUUGUUACAGAUGUAAUUAGUUAAGGUGAGAUCAUACUGGCAUAGAGUGGCCCCCUAAUCCAGUAUGACUGGUGUCCUUAUAAAAAGUGGGAGAUUUAGGAGUGCCUGGGUGGCACAGCCGGUAAGUGUCUGUCUCUUGGUUUUGACCCAGAUCGUGAUCUGAGUUGUGGUAUCAAGCCCCAGGUCGGGCUCUGCACUCAGAUUCUCUCUCCUGCUCCCUCUGCCCCUCUUGCUCUCUCACUCUCUAAAAUAAAUAAAUAAAUAAUUUUUUUAAACAAUGGGGGGGCAUUUGGACACAGGCACAUACACGCAGAGAAUGCCAUGUGAACAUGAAGGCAGAGGUCAGGUGGUUCAUCUAUACCGAAGAUUGCCAGCAAAGCACCCGAAGGUAGGAGAGAAGCAUGGAACGGAUUCUCCCCUAUAGUCCUGGGAAGUAACCAACCCUGCUACAACCUUGAUCUUAGACUUCUGAUCUCAGAACUGUGAGAUAGGGCGCCUGGGUGGCUCAGUUGGUUAAGCGACUGCCUUCGGCUGGGGUCAUGAUCCUGGAGUCCUGGGAUCGAGUCCCACAUCGGGCUCCUUGCUCAGCGGGGAGUCUGCUUCUCCCUCUGACCCUCCCCCCCC
Long non-coding RNA from Zalophus californianus (California sea lion), 3838 nucleotides. The record is from Ensembl. NCBI's taxonomy places the organism in Eukaryota, Metazoa, Chordata, Mammalia, Carnivora, Otariidae.